RNAcentral lists this long non-coding RNA (552 nucleotides) under Homo sapiens (human). Its description in RNAcentral is "SLC9A3 antisense RNA 1". Lineage: Eukaryota; Metazoa; Chordata; Mammalia; Primates; Hominidae. The record is from RNAcentral.
GUGCCCACCUCCUGCCGCGGCUUGUACAGGCCAGGAGCCACCACAGCCCUGUCUGUGACUCUCAGCUCCCGAGGCUGGGCUCUUCCCCAGGGAAGCUGCAUGACCAUGGCCACAUACAGGAGGUAGGAGACAGAGGCCUCCACGGUGGACGAUCGUGGCGUGAAGUCCACGUUGACCACGUUGUCGGUGCUGGGGGAGCGGAUGAAGGCCAGGGACCCGCGGCGCUCUCCCUGUGGUCAGGAAGCAGCCCGGAGACCCUAAAACUCCAUUGGCCUCAUGUCCAGAACUGAAUCAGGUUCAGCUCGUGGAAGACAUUCAGGAUCCGGUCUCGAGACUUCUGGGCCGACCGUCUCAUGAGGACCCUGCUGAGGAACUUCCUGUCGAAGUGGGACCACCUGUAGGGACAGACCUUGGGUGUGAGCCUCAGGUGACAGGCGCCCUAGAGCCCGCCGGACGCGUGGCCCGGCCCCUUCUCUCCUGAAUUUUGUUUGCUAUAGUGACCCUGUAGGCGCGUUUAAAAUGAGGGAAGCAGCCCCUGCCACACGCCCAGGC